GAAUUGAAGAGUUUGAUCAUGGCUCAGAUUGAACGCUGGCGGCAGGCUAACGCACAUACAGUCGAACGGUAGCACAGAAGGCUUGCUCUCGGGUGACAGUGGCGGACGGGUGGUAAUGUCUGCAGGAAACUGCCUGAUGGAGGGAUAACUACCAAACGGUGGCUAAUACCGCAUAACGUCGCAAAGACCAAGAAGGGGGACCUUCGGGCCUCUUGCCAUCAGAUGUGCCCAGAUGGGAUAGCUUGUUGGUGAGGUAACGGCUCACCAAGGCGACGUCUAGCUGGUCUGAGAGGAUGACCCAGCCACACUGGAACUGAGACACGGUCGAACUCCUACGGGAGGGCAGCAGUGGGGGAAUAUUGCACAAUGGGCGCAAGCCCUGAUGCAGCCAUGCCGCGUGUAUGAAGAGCCUUCGGGUUGUAAAGUACUUUCAGCGGGGGAGGAGGAAGGUGUUGUGGUUAAUAACCACAGCAAUUUGGCGUUACCCGCAGAAGAAGCUUUCGGCCAACUCCGUGCCAGCAGCCGCGAUACGGAGGUGCAAGCGUUAAUCGGAAUUACUGGGCGUAAAGCGCACGCGAGCGCGGUCUGUCAAGUCGGAUGUGAAAUCCCCGGGCUCAACACGAACUGCAUUCGAAACUGGCAGGCUUGAGUGUCUUGUAGGGGGUAGAAUUCCGGUGUAGCGGUGAGAAAUGGCGAGAUCUGGAGGAAUACCGGUGGCGAAAGGCGGCCACAGACAAAAGACUGACGCUCAGGUGCAGCGAUAUAAGGGAACAACAAGAAGUUAAAUACCACACAGUAGUCCACGCCGUAAACGAUGUCUACGGAGGUUGUGCCGCGAGGCGUGGCUUCGGAGCAGCGCGUUAAGUACGGGGUACGACGCAGGUUAAAACUCAAAUAAUUGACGGGGGCCCGCACAAGCGGUGGAGCAUGUGGUUUAAUUCGAUACGCGAAGAACCUUACGGUCUUGACAUCCACAGAACUUUCAGAAGAUGGACUGGUGCCUUCGGGAACUACAAUGAGACAGGUGCUGCAUGGCUGUCGUCAGCUCGUGUUGUGAAAAUGUUGGGUUAGAAGUCCUGACGCAACCCUUACAUCCUUUGUUGCCAGCGGUCCGGCCGGGAACUCCAAAGGGAGACUGCCAGUGAUAAACUGGAGGAAGGUGAGGUUGACGUCAGGGCAUCAUGGCCCACCCGGCCCGGGGGCUACACACGUGCUACAAUGGCGCAUACAAAGAAAGCGACCUCGCGAGAGCAAGCGGACCUCAUAAAAGUGCACGUCGUAGUCAGAUUGAGUCUGCAACUCGACUCCAUGAAGUCGGAAUCGCUAAUGUCGUGGAUCAGAAUGCCACGGUGAGGAAUACGUUCCCGGGCCUUGUACACCGCCCGUCACACCAUGGGGAGUGAGUUGCAAAAGAAGUAGGUAGCUUAACCUUCGGGGAGGCGCUUACCGCUUUGUGAUUCAUGACUGGGGUGAAGUCGUAACAAGGUAACCGUAGAGCCUGCGGUUGGAUCACCUCUUAC
Molecule: ribosomal RNA, 1520 nt
Filed under: Salmonella enterica subsp. enterica
Lineage: Bacteria; Pseudomonadati; Pseudomonadota; Gammaproteobacteria; Enterobacterales; Enterobacteriaceae
Description: 16S ribosomal RNA
Rfam family: Bacterial small subunit ribosomal RNA
Source: RNAcentral